This 497-nucleotide ribosomal RNA is filed under the name uncultured bacterium. RNAcentral's name for it is "partial 16S ribosomal RNA". It matches the Rfam family "Bacterial small subunit ribosomal RNA", at positions 28 to 507 of the family's 1533-position model. The record is from RNAcentral.
GAUGAACGCUGGCGGCGUGCCUAAUACAUGCAAGUCGAGCGAACGGACGAGAAGCUUGCUUCUCUGAUGUUAGCGGCGGACGGGUGAGUAACACGUGGAUAACCUACCUAUAAGACUGGGAUAACUUCGGGAAACCGUAGCUAAUACCGGAUAAUAUUUUGAACCGCAUGGUUCAAAAGUGAAAGACGGUCUUGCUGUCACUUAUAGAUGGAUCCGCGCUGCAUUAGCUAGUUGGUAAGGUAACGGCUUACCAAGGCAACGAUGCAUAGCCGACCUGAGAGGGUGAUCGGUCACACUGGAACUGAGACACGGUCCAGACUCCUACGGGAGGCAGCAGUAGGGAAUCUUCCGCAAUGGGCGAAAGCCUGACGGAGCAACGCCGCGUGAGUGAUGAAGGUCUUCGGAUCGUAAAACUCUGUUAUUAGGGAAGAACAUAUGUGUAAGUAACUGUGCACAUCUUGACGGUACCUAAUCAGAAAGCCACGGCUAACUACGUG